RNAcentral lists this ribosomal RNA (794 nucleotides) under uncultured bacterium. RNAcentral's name for it is "bacterial SSU rRNA". It matches the Rfam family "Bacterial small subunit ribosomal RNA", at positions 8 to 798 of the family's 1533-position model. The record is from RNAcentral.
AGAGUUUGAUCAUGGCUCAGGAUGAACGCUAGCGGCAGGCUUAAUACAUGCAAGUCGAGGGGCAGCGGGAGUAGCAAUACUUGCCGGCGACCGGCGCACGGGUGCGUAACACGUAUGUAAUCUGCCCAUCACAGGAGGAUAGCCCGGAGAAAUUCGGAUUAAUACUCCAUAAUAAAUUGAGUGGCAUCACUUGAUUUUGAAAGUUCCGACGGUGAUGGAUGAACAUGCGACUGAUUAGUUAGUUGGUGAGGUAACGGCUCACCAAGACCACGAUCAGUAGGGGUACUGAGAGGUUAAACCCCCACACUGGUACUGAGACACGGACCAGACUCCUACGGGAGGCAGCAGUAAGGAAUAUUGGACAAUGGCCGCAAGGCUGAUCCAGCCAUGCCGCGUGCAGGAAGACGGACCUAUGGUUUGUAAACUGCUUUUGAACUAGAGAAAACCCCUUUACGUGUAAAGGGCUGAUAGUAUAGUUAGAAUAAGCAUCGGCUAACUUCGUGCCAGCAGCCGCGGUAAGACGAAGGAUGCAAGCGUUAUCCGGAUUCAUUGGGUUUAAAGGGAGCGUAGGCGGACUUGUAAGUCAGUGGUGAAAUCUUUGGGCUUAACCCAGAAACUGCCAUUGAUACUGCAGGUCUAGAGUACAGUUGCCGUUGGCGGAAUAUGACAUGUAGUGGUGAAAUACUUAGAUAUGUCAUAGAACACCGAUUGCGAAGGCAGCUAACGAAGCUGUAACUGACGCUGAGGCUCGAAAGUGCGGGGAUCAAACAGGAUUAGAUACCCCGGUAGUCCAA